GCCGAAGUAGCUCAGUUGGUAGAGCAAUUCACUCGUAACGAAUAGGUCGUAGGUUCGAUUCCUAUCUUCGGCACCA
This 76-nucleotide transfer RNA is filed under the name Gallionella capsiferriformans ES-2. RNAcentral's name for it is "tRNA-Thr (CGT) (tRNA-Thr-CGT-1-1)". It matches the Rfam family "tRNA". From Rfam's summary of the family: Transfer RNA (tRNA) molecules are approximately 80 nucleotides in length. Their secondary structure includes four short double-helical elements and three loops (D, anti-codon, and T loops). Further hydrogen bonds mediate the characteristic L-shaped molecular structure. tRNAs have two regions of fundamental functional importance: the anti-codon, which is responsible for specific mRNA codon recognition, and the 3' end, to which the tRNAs corresponding amino acid is attached (by aminoacyl-tRNA synthetases). tRNAs cope with the degeneracy of the genetic code in two manners: having more than one tRNA (with a specific anti-codon) for a particular amino acid; and 'wobble' base-pairing, i.e. permitting non-standard base-pairing at the 3rd anti-codon position. Lineage: Bacteria; Pseudomonadati; Pseudomonadota; Betaproteobacteria; Nitrosomonadales; Gallionellaceae. RNAcentral also lists the same sequence under 5 other names. The record is from RNAcentral.